AAUGAACGCUGGCGGCGUGCUUUACACAUGCAAGUCGAGCGAGGCGUGUAGCAAUACACAGUCGAGCGGCGAACGGGUGAGUAACACGUGGAUUAUCUGCCCUGAGGUGGGGGAUAACCCGGGGAAACUCGGGCUAAUACCGCAUAUGACCGUGAGGUCAAAGGGGGGUCGCAAGACCUCUCGCCUUUGGAGGAGUCCGCGUCCGAUUAGCUAGUUGGUAGGUAAUGGCCACCAAGGCGACGAUCGGUAGCCGGCCUGAGAGGUGAUCGGCCACACUGGAACUGAGACACGGGUCCAGACUCCUACGGGAGGCAGCAGUGGGGAAUUUGGGCAAUGGCGAAAGCCUGACCCAGCAACGCCGCGUGAGGGAGGAAAUCCUUC
RNAcentral lists this ribosomal RNA (381 nucleotides) under uncultured bacterium. RNAcentral describes it as "bacterial SSU rRNA". It matches the Rfam family "Bacterial small subunit ribosomal RNA", at positions 29 to 419 of the family's 1533-position model. The record is from RNAcentral.